AAUGAACGCUGGCGGCAUGCCUUACACAUGCAAGUCGAACGGCAGCAUGACCUAGCUUGCUAGGUUGAUGGCGAGUGGCGAACGGGUGAGUAAUGCAUCGGAACGUGCCUUUUAGUGGGGGAUAACGUAGCGAAAGUUACGCUAAUACCGCAUAUUCUCUGAGGAGGAAAGCAGGGGACCUUCGGGCCUUGCGCUAGAAGAGCGGCCGAUGUCGGAUUAGCUAGUUGGUGAGGUAAAGGCUCACCAAGGCAACGAUCCGUAGCGGGUCUGAGAGGAUGAUCCGCCACACUGGGACUGAGAAACGGCCCAGACUCCUACGGGAGGCAGCAGUGGGGAAUUUUGGACAAUGGGCGCAAGCCUGAUCCAGCCAUGCCGCGUGAGUGAAGAAGGCCUUCGGGUUGUAAAGCUCUUUCGGCUGGGAAGAAAUCGCACCCUCUAAUACAGGGUGUGGAUGACGGUACCAGCAUAAGAAGCACCGGCUAACUACGUG
This 490-nucleotide ribosomal RNA is filed under the name uncultured bacterium. RNAcentral's name for it is "partial 16S ribosomal RNA". It matches the Rfam family "Bacterial small subunit ribosomal RNA", at positions 29 to 507 of the family's 1533-position model. The record is from RNAcentral.